UACGAAGGGGGCUAGCGUUUGUUCGGAGUUUACUGGGACGUAAAGCGCACGUAGGCGGAUUGUUAAGUCAGGGGUGAAAUCCUGGAGCUCCAACUCCAGAACGUGCCUUUGAUUACUGGCAAUCUCGAGUCCGGAAGAGGUGAGUGGAACUCCGUAAGUGUAGAGGUGGAAUUCGUAAGAUAUUAGGAAGAACGACCAGUGGCGAAGGC
RNAcentral lists this ribosomal RNA (209 nucleotides) under uncultured bacterium. RNAcentral describes it as "partial 16S ribosomal RNA". It matches the Rfam family "Bacterial small subunit ribosomal RNA", at positions 524 to 722 of the family's 1533-position model. The record is from RNAcentral.